UACAGAGGUCUCAAGCGUUGUUCGGAUUCAUUGGGCGUAAAGGGUGCGUAGGCGGCGCCGUAAGUCAGGUGUGAAAUUUCGGAGCUUAACUCCGAAACUGCAUUUGAUACUGCGGUGCUUGAGGACUGGAGAGGAGACUGGAAUUUACGGUGUAGCAGUGAAAUGCGUAGAGAUCCGGAGGAACACCAGUGGCGAAAGCGGCCACCUGGACUGCACCUGACGCUGAAACGCGAAAGCUAGGGGAGCGAACGGG
Molecule: ribosomal RNA, 253 nt
Filed under: uncultured bacterium
Lineage: Bacteria
Description: partial 16S ribosomal RNA
Rfam family: Bacterial small subunit ribosomal RNA
Source: RNAcentral